Homo sapiens (human) is the source of this 110-nucleotide non-coding RNA. Lineage: Eukaryota; Metazoa; Chordata; Mammalia; Primates; Hominidae. The record is from Rfam.
GUAGUCCACGUUUCAGCAGUACAUAUACCAAAACUGAAAUGAUACAGAGAAGAUUAGUAUGGCCCUUGCACAAGGAUGACACACAAAUUCGUGAAGCAUUCCAAAUUUUU